RNAcentral lists this unclassified non-coding RNA (345 nucleotides) under soil metagenome. Its description in RNAcentral is "partial contains 5.8S ribosomal RNA, internal transcribed spacer 2, and large subunit ribosomal RNA". The stretch from base 1 to 119 matches the Rfam family "5.8S ribosomal RNA", at positions 35 to 154 of the family's 154-position model. The record is from RNAcentral.
GAUGAAGAACGCAGCGAAAUGCGAUACGUAAUGUGAAUUGCAAAUUCAGUGAAUCAUCGAGUCUUUGAACGCACAUUGCGCCCCCUGGUAUUCCGGGGGGCAUGCCUGUCCGAGCGUCAUUGCUGCCCUCAAGCACGGCUUGUGUGUUGGGCCCCGUCCUCCGAUCCCGGGGGACGGGCCCGAAAGGCAGCGGCGGCACCGCGUCCGAUCCUCGAGCGUAUGGGGCUUUGUCACCCGCUCUGUAGGCCCGGCCGGCGCUUGCCGAUCAACCCAAAUUUUUAUCCAGGUUGACCUCGGAUCAGGUAGGGAUACCCGCUGAACUUAAGCAUAUCAAUAAGCGGAGGA